CUGAUAGGAAACCCAACUGUGGACUUCUCAAAAGUGUCAAGACUGGAAUUUUGCAUAUGUUCUGGGUCUUAGGAGCUGGGCUAUGGAGUUGUUACAGAGCUGUCUCCUGUGAGUCUUAAAGCCACACCUGCCUGAUAUGGCUCUCAUCCCCUCCCAGUGGGCUGUCACCUGUGGAAAAGCUGGCUCCCCUAAGCUAAUACGGACUGCUAAGAGGUCUGCUGAGAGAAAGGUCUAACCAGGGUUGCACAUCGACAUGGCCACGUUCAGCUAAAUGUCAAUUAGAAAGUUAAGGAAGAGCGGAAAAAAGAAAAAGGAGCUUGAGCUCCAGGAAGGCCAGGAACUAUGACUGCAUACGUCAUCAAGCCCAGUGCCUGCCCACGGGAGGCACUUUGUUAAGUUUUGAUUGAAACACAUGGUGAAUGGCCAAUGCAGAAAAUAAAUUGAUAAAAUUGGACUACAUUCCUUUGGCAGCUCAAUGGACACAAAUCAUUAGAUUUUCCAUUUCAAGGACAAUGGUAGACAAUGAUUUAUAAAGAUAUGAAAGAUCAUAUAUAAUUUUAUUUGUAAAAUGAUAAUGUUCACUACAUAGUCUGAUUUGUUAAGGAGGCUAGUUUUGUUUUCAUUUUUGUUUUUUUAGCCAUACCUGAAUUUCCUAUCUAUCCUGUUUUAAAAUUCCUAAGCUUGUUAAUCCUCUACCUUCAGUGAUGUUUCUUUUUAAACCAAAUUUUUCCUGGUAAAUGUCAUGUUAACAUCAAAGACCCCAGUGUUAGUGAUUGUGAAUUUCAUCUGUUAUUAAAAACAAAAACAAAUUAUAAAGUUGCUCUUGAUUUA
Long non-coding RNA from Lutra lutra (Eurasian river otter), 831 nucleotides. RefSeq lists it as uncharacterized. The record is from RefSeq and is a predicted model, not a curated record. NCBI's taxonomy places the organism in Eukaryota, Metazoa, Chordata, Mammalia, Carnivora, Mustelidae. The transcript has 3 exons.